This 440-nucleotide ribosomal RNA is filed under the name uncultured Levilinea sp. RNAcentral describes it as "bacterial SSU rRNA". It matches the Rfam family "Bacterial small subunit ribosomal RNA", at positions 338 to 795 of the family's 1533-position model. The record is from RNAcentral. Lineage: Bacteria; Bacillati; Chloroflexota; Anaerolineae; Anaerolineales; Anaerolineaceae.
CCUACGGGGGGCAGCAGUGGGGAAUAUUGGUAAUGGGCGAAAGCCUGAACCAGCAACGCCGCGUGUGCGAUGAAGGCCUUCGGGUUGUAAAGCACUUUUUGAGGGGAUGAGGAAGGACAGUACCCUCAGAAUAAGUCUCGGCUAACUACGUGCCAGCAGCCGCGGUAACACGUAGGAGACUAGCGUUAUCCGGAUUUACUGGGCGUAAAGCGCGUGCAGGUGGCUCGGAAAGUUCGAUGUGAAAGCUCCCGGCUUAACUGGGAGAGGUCGUUGAAUACUUUCGGGCUAGAGGAUGGGAGAGGGAGGCGGAAUUCCGGGUGUAGUGGUGAAAUGCGUAGAUAUCCGGAGGAACACCAGUGGCGAAAGCGGCCUCCUGGCCCAUUUCUGACACUCAGACGCGAAAGCUAGGGUAGCAAACGGGCUUAGAUACCCGUGUAGUC